CGCAAGCCUGACGGAGCAAGACCGCGUGGGGGAGGAAUGCCUUAGGGUUGUAAACCCCUUUUAUCUGGGAAGAACAAAAUGACGGUACCAGAUGAAUAAGCAUCGGCUAACUCCGUGCCAGCAGCCGCGGUAAGACGGAGGAUGCAAGUGUUAUCCGGAAUCACUGGGCGUAAAGCGUCUGUAGGUGGUUUAAUAAGUCAACUGUUAAAUCUUGAGGCUCAACUUCAAAAUCGCAGUCGAAACUAUUAGACUAGAGUAUAGUAGAGGUAAAGGGAAUUUCCAGUGGAGCGGUGAAAUGCGUAGAUAUUGGAAAGAACACCGAUGGCGAAAGCACUUUACUGGGCUAUUACUAACACUCAGAGACGAAAGCUAGGGUAGCA
Molecule: ribosomal RNA, 380 nt
Filed under: uncultured cyanobacterium
Lineage: Bacteria; Bacillati; Cyanobacteriota
Description: bacterial SSU rRNA
Rfam family: Bacterial small subunit ribosomal RNA
Source: RNAcentral